GACGAACGCUGGCGGCGUGCCUAAUACAUGCAAGUCGAACGAACCGCGACUGAGUGCUUGCACUUGGUCAAGGUGAGUGGCGAACGGGUGAGUAACACGUGGGUAACCUACCUCAUAGUGGGGGAUAACAGUCGGAAACGACUGCUAAUACCGCAUAGGACAUGGAAUCACAUGAUUCUGUGAGGAAAGGUGGCGCAAGCUAUCGCUAAGAGAUGGACCCGCGGUGCAUUAGCUAGUUGGUAGGGUAACGGCCUACCAAGGCGAUGAUGCAUAGCCGACCUGAGAGGGUGAUCGGCCACAUUGGGACUGAGACACGGCCCAAACUCCUACGGGAGGCAGCAGUAGGGAAUCUUCCGCAAUGGACGCAAGUCUGACGGAGCAACGCCGCGUGAGUGAGGAAGGUCUUCGGAUCGUAAAGCUCUGUUGUUAGAGAAGAACAGCGCAUAGAGUAACUGUUAUGCGUUGACGGAUCUAA
RNAcentral lists this ribosomal RNA (475 nucleotides) under Abiotrophia defectiva. RNAcentral's name for it is "bacterial SSU rRNA". It matches the Rfam family "Bacterial small subunit ribosomal RNA", at positions 28 to 482 of the family's 1533-position model. The record is from RNAcentral. Lineage: Bacteria; Bacillati; Bacillota; Bacilli; Lactobacillales; Aerococcaceae.